RNAcentral lists this microRNA precursor (180 nucleotides) under Oryza brachyantha (malo sina). RNAcentral's name for it is "MIR812 microRNA precursor family". It matches the Rfam family "MIR812 microRNA precursor family". Lineage: Eukaryota; Viridiplantae; Streptophyta; Magnoliopsida; Poales; Poaceae. The record is from Rfam by way of RNAcentral.
GAUAAACUCAGUUUUCGUUUUUAUGUAUUCAAUCAUUCGUCUUAUUUGAAAUUUUGUUACGAUCAAUAUUUUUCUUGUUACUAGAUAAUAAAAUAUAAAUAAUACUUUAUAUGUGACUAAUUUUUUUUAAAUUUUUUCUAAAUUUUUUAAAUAAGACGAAUGGUCAAAGGACGAAAAAAC